UGGUAAGACAGAAUGCUAACGCACUUCAAAGCUCCCGUUACAUAAUUCAAAGGGAGUUUAGAAGCUUGCUUUAUUUAUCUUAAAUUAUUCACAGCAUAAGUCUUUAAAAUAUUUAAACUCCAAUACCGUCAAAGGAGAAUGCUGAUGGAGUGUCUUCUCCGGAGAAAGCAGCCAUAAGGACUCGUGGGCCAACGCAAGCAUCGAGGGUGCUCCCCCAUGCUCCACUUUCUGGACCAAGGAAUGCUUUCCUUUAGGGAUCAAGUUUUUGCCGAAUGAGAUUAAUUUUUUUUUUAAAUGUUGCUCCUGAGGAGGAGCCUUUAGCAGGACAUACGAAGAUGUGAGGAAGUGGAAAUGUCCUUCCUUCCAUAGCUAAUGAAACCACUCAUUAGCAGAACACCGGGGUGCUACUAGCGAGACACUCGUGCAGCUGGCACUCAUUCUGAGGAGGAUGAUUCAUUACCAUGGUUACUGGUGCUGGAAAUAUUACCUUCCGCAAUCAGCAUGCGCACUGAUCCUUUAAGAGAGUGUAAAAAUCAGAGCACUGUAAACAAUUAGUGAAAAUCGUCAGCUGCUCUGGGCUGAGCUUACACAAUGCUACCCUCAGGGCAUAAAAGCAGAGGGAGGAGACUGAACCGGUGCAUUUUCCAGAGGUAUGCCUGGAGGUGUGUUUCCUGGGUGAUUUCAGAUCCUGUCAGGUUGGCAAUCAACAGAAACCAUCACGUUUACAGACAAAAUUCAGAAACCAAAGCUCAAGAACCAAGUUUCAUGUGCUAAUAUCUCAAGAGCUUCAGAAAGUCUUAUGUACAGAGAAAUCCAGCCCCACAAUGCAAUCAGGAAACGAGUACAGCUAUACAGCAGUUGGACACGCAAGCUGUGAGAAAAUGAUAUCUAUUUUUAUGUGCCUAUUUCAUUACUGUCUAUGGGUCUGAUAAAGUUAAGCUUUUCUGUGUUUUUAAAUGCUGUGAUUGAACCCUGGCAUCAGUAUUAGGACUCUGAUCAGCUUGGCUGCAAGUUCGGGGCCUCUCAGACCCUCCACUCAGGUUUGAAAAUUCGCCAGAAUGACUAAGAGGAGCUCCGAGGGAACUACAUAUGCUACUGCAGUUCUAAAAAUGGACACAUGCCAGGGCAGCCCCUCUCAGGAAGGAAGGCCACAUAACCCCAGGACACUGGAGUGCUCUCCAACUCCGAAGCUCAGGGCUGGUUGACAUGUGAGCUCACGGAUUGUGGCAGCAUACCCAGGGCCUGCCUGCAAGGGUCUGUACCAGAUAGUAAGCAGCAGAAGUGAGCAUCUCUAACCAGAAGCUAUCUCCAACUGAUAGCCAUUCACAAGUGAACAAUUACCUUUCUCCAAUGGCCUCGAUGCGUAUAUUGAGCCAUGCCCAGCAAUAAAUGGGCAACACCAGUUGAAUCAAUGGUAGAAGACUUUCCCUCUUGGAGUGUUUUGUUCUGCCAUUUUUUUGUCUUACUGGUCUCUUUUGCUUGUCUAUGGUUUCUGAUUUUGUGGACUUUAUGGAUUUUGUUUGCUGUUGUGUGUUUCUUAUAUUAUGUCUCUCUUAUAUUUUU
RNAcentral lists this small RNA (1563 nucleotides) under Rattus norvegicus (Norway rat). Its description in RNAcentral is "uncharacterized LOC102553536". Lineage: Eukaryota; Metazoa; Chordata; Mammalia; Rodentia; Muridae. The record is from RNAcentral.